Molecule: long non-coding RNA, 2117 nt
Filed under: Daphnia pulex (common water flea)
Lineage: Eukaryota; Metazoa; Arthropoda; Branchiopoda; Diplostraca; Daphniidae
Description: uncharacterized LOC124205785
Source: RNAcentral
CCCUUUUUUGGGUGGUUGUUUCGGCAAAACACCAUUCGUGCCCCCCGAAAAAAAUACUCUAGAAGCCGCUCCGGUUCCGGAACAGGACGGAACGUCUGAUGAAUCGCUAUCGAUUACAAUCGUUUGAUGCGGCAUCACUUCGUCUUCUUCAUCCAAUUCUAUUGGGGCUGGCUCAUUCUCGUCCCAUUCACGCUGGAUCCGCUAUUACUCUUCCCAUUCACGCUCAGCCAAUUCUCUCUCGACCCUCUCGCUCUCCAAUAUUUAUCCAAUAUUACUCUCCAAUUUAUCUUAUUCGUUCGUAUCUUAUUCGUAUUUCAUUAGUCAUUACCAUACCUUCAUUUUAUGUUAGGUAUCACAAAAUACUCCUGAUCGCCUUCUGUCUUCGAGUCAUCUCUUUUAUUUUGCGCCAUGCUUACGCUAACAUUGGCAAGGAUCGGGUUGUUAAGGCCCUAUCGCAGUGACAUCGGGGCCUUGUUUAUAGGUACAUCAUGGACUGUGGUAUCGUCAAGUGCAAUAACGCUCAAGUAUGGUGGAUGUACCUUCUAUAAGGAUAUAGAAAGUAUUCCGUCGGUUUCAUUCACAUCCUGGCACCCCAAGCUUUCGGCUUGGGAUUUCAAGAGAUCUAGACUGUUUUGCGAUGCGGUGUUUGGUAACAAUAUCCUACUUUCCGGGAGUCAUCAAACUCGAGCCUCUCAGGGACAAGGCGGCCCUGAGGGGCCCUGGAAUGCCGCUAGAAAAUGAGGCCUCUUGGUGAAUGUUGUCAGUAUCAUAGUUACUGUAUUGUUCUAAAUGGUGACACCGUUAAAAGUAAUCUACGAAAUUUAAUUAAGCAUAAAGGAAAUGAUGACCUUGCUUGAACUGUGGAUGUUUCGAAAAAUUUUGGUGCUCCAAUUGGUGGAAAAAGAAAAAUGGCUUUAGUUUCCCAGCAAACAGCAGCCCGGCAUCAGCAGCCAGCACCGCCGAUUCAUCGUCAAAAUCCCCAAACAACAACAACAACUCGUCUUCUUCUUCAACAGCAGCCACAACAACAACCUCAAAUGCUUCAAUGACAUCCAGCAGUAGUUGCCCGGCUAGUUGCACCCAGUGCGAUCACAUGACGUGAACCACCGCCAAUCAUUUCACGUCCAAACUUCCAGCAGCGGCCUAGGCCUGACGAGUUCGACGGCGGCGCGGUCUUCGAGUUUGGCGAUGAGGACGUCGACGUCGUAAACCAUCGUAACGCUGGCUUCGACUUGACUCUGCUGGUAUACGUACGUGAUGCAAAGUACGUGAAAAAAUUGUCAGACAAACGUACUAAAAGGCAGCGUACAACGGUCAUGUUUCCAGAAAGCGAAUCUUACGCAGACCGAGGAAUACAUGAGGUUUACGCCUUUAUAUUCAUAUGAUACAAGAAAUCACAAUCGCAACGAAAUGCUACGUUUGAUGAAUAUUACUUAUCAAAUCCGACGCGAUUUUUAUUGCGUGCAUUUAUUUUUUAUUUUUACGCGAAAUUGGUACAGUGUACCAAUUUCGCCCGCUAUUAGCAUUGCGCUACAAGAUUUUAGUUUUUAUUUUUUAAUUAGUAACCUAGUUGCUGUUGUCUUAAGUUUUUCGGAGGGGGGUUCAAAACAUAACUGGGAACAUAAAAAAUGCGCCAUCCCUUUAUUUACAUUUCUCUACCCCCUGGAACUGGCGCCAACUGUACCAAUUUCGCCGAGCGAAAGUUGGGGCGGUUGCCGUGCUUUUCUUAUGGCGCUGCAAAAAAAGGACCUUGUUUUAAAAAAUAAUAAAAAAUGGCCGCUAGACUUACGCCCUUCUUGAUUUUAGCAAAAGAUGAAGAAUAAGUUCAUCUUCAUUUUAAGUAAUUCAAUUUGUUUUGUUUUUUUGUUUAAGUUUAGGGGUCAAAAAAGAAUAUUUAGAAAAAAACGGCUUAAUUUCCCGUCUCUGAACAAGAAGUUUCUAUGCCUACUAGGCUACUAGAGAGACUCAUCAUUCGGGGAAAAUUUUGCCGUUUUUUUCUAAAUAUUCAUUUUUUUGCAACAUAAGUUAAAGUUAAACAUAAGGUUAUGAACAACACUAAACAUAUGUAAAAAUUGUCAUCUGAACACAUCCACCCUGCAAUAAAAGUAUUUACUUUU